GGGGGGACAGCUCAGUGGUAGAGUACCUGCCUAGCAUGUACAAGGUCCUGGGUUCAAUCCCCAGUACCUCCU
This 72-nucleotide transfer RNA is filed under the name Camelus bactrianus (Bactrian camel). It matches the Rfam family "tRNA". From Rfam's summary of the family: Transfer RNA (tRNA) molecules are approximately 80 nucleotides in length. Their secondary structure includes four short double-helical elements and three loops (D, anti-codon, and T loops). Lineage: Eukaryota; Metazoa; Chordata; Mammalia; Artiodactyla; Camelidae. RNAcentral also lists the same sequence under 1 other name. The record is from Rfam by way of RNAcentral.